GCAAGUCGAGCGGACACUUCGGUGUUAGCGGCGGACGGGUGAGUAAUGCUUGCAGAUGUACCCUUUGGUAAAGGAUAACGUUUGGAAACGGACGCUAAUACUUUAUAAGCACUAUGGUGGAAAGAUUUAUCGCCAAGGGAUCAUUUCAAGUCGGAUUAGCUAGUUGUAGGGGUAAAGGCUCUACAAGGCGAUGAUCCGUAGCCGGCCUGAGAGGGUGAUC
RNAcentral lists this ribosomal RNA (220 nucleotides) under uncultured bacterium. RNAcentral's name for it is "partial 16S ribosomal RNA". It matches the Rfam family "Bacterial small subunit ribosomal RNA", at positions 57 to 305 of the family's 1533-position model. The record is from RNAcentral.